This 253-nucleotide ribosomal RNA is filed under the name uncultured bacterium. RNAcentral describes it as "partial 16S ribosomal RNA". It matches the Rfam family "Bacterial small subunit ribosomal RNA", at positions 524 to 776 of the family's 1533-position model. The record is from RNAcentral.
UACGGAGGGGGCUAGCGUUGUUCGGAAUCACUGGGCGUAAAGGGUGCGUAGGCGGGUCUUUAAGUCAGGGGUGAAAUCCUGGAGCUCAACUCCAGAACUGCCUUUGAUACUGAAGAUCUUGAGUUCGGGAGAGGUGAGUGGAACUGCGAGUGUAGAGGUGAAAUUCGUAGAUAUUCACAAGAACACCAGUGGCGAAGGCGGCUCACUGGCCCGAUACUGACGCUGAGGCACGAAAGCGUGGGGAGCAAACAGG